CGAGUAAGUACGAGGGGGGUAAAUACAAUAUAUGAACCACCACCCGUCAGCCCGCGAUCACUUUACGGUUUCUCAGCGACAGGGGUCUGUAAGCACAGAUUUACUAAACAAAUUCCAUCACACUGUUCGAUCAAUAUAAAUUAAAUAGACCAUUUGGGGUAGCCAAGGGGUGUCAUUUUAUUAGCAAUGUGUGUGUUGUGCGUAGCCGUCGGGCCCUGUGUCGACCCCUGACACCAAUUGUGAAGCACACUGGCUCGAGAAAGGACCAGCUUUUAAACUCAGUUCAUAUAUCACAGAGACAGGUAUAUUAUCAACUAUAUUAUCGAGGGUUGUAAGCGCUAUCUGUUCAACCGUCGCACCCCGGGACGUGAUAAGUUCAAAGUGAGAGAGAGCGCGCUGCAAACAGAUUGGUUUUUAUCUCUAUAAUUAUAUAUAACCAUGGACCUGUUUAUGCUCUUCACACUGGAGUUUCUUUGGGACUGCUAGUUGCGGUAUAUGAAGACACGCUAUGGGAUAUAGAGAUUUGAUAACAGAUCACAUGUGAAAAUAUCUCCUUCAGAACGACGUAAGGAGUGAUUCUACUUCAACUCUAGGAUAGUGCAUGCCUUGAGGCGAGCCGGGCGUUGAAACUAGGGUGUUCUUGUCCAUGCGGUCACGAUGGAAGAUGAUUCAGACAGUCUGUUCACCAUCAACGAGGAGGAGGAGUCCGCCUCCAGACUUCAGCCUGAGUCUCAGACCUCCUACUUCAUCCUGGGGUCUCACAAAGUCAGAUUCCUUCCGUCCGUCAACUUUAUUUACCAGCGGCUAAACUUCAGAGACCGAUGCGGACAGGUACCACAUUUCGUUAAAUCCAAUGUACAAAAGACUGCUAGACUAUCGUCUGAAUCUUUUAUUCUGAAAGUGAACUAUCUACGGCGCCGUCGGGAGGCAAGCACGGACGUCAACAAGAAUCGUCUGCUUGAAGAGGAGAGCAGACGACAAAAGUUCUAUGACCAGUCACCUCGCCGAUCUGGUUCCUCGGCGUCUCAUGCUUAAUUGCAGCUCAUCAGAAUGUAUUAGUCACUCAGUCGUAUGUAUGUGGCUUAAAGAAUAUGAUGGCAUUGGUGGUGGAAAAUGGAAAAGAUUCAUGCAAUAAUGAAGAACCUUAUUGUGUAGAUUAAGUUCUUCGAAAACACUUGAGAACUGUUCCAAUGGUGCAAAUAUUAUGCUAUAUAUGUAGUAUCAUAUGUGUCUUCAAAAUAUCCUAUUGAAGAAAAUCAUUAUUCUUGUUAUAAAUUUUCAUGUAUUUGAGAUAAUAAUUUUGAACAUUUUGUGUUGGGAAUCAGAGAAAAGGAGGACAUGGCCUUUCAGACAUGCACAUGGUACCACCAGUGUUUGGUGUUCGCCCGCGGCAGUGCUAUAUAUGUCACAUCGAUAGAUAGUCUCGUCAAAGUAAUCAUAUCCACAUGUAACGGAACUGCGCGUUUUAAGCCACCUCGUAAUUAAGCCCAUGGGCUUAAAAACGGGAAAUUAAAAAGCCCAUGGGCUUGAAUUAAACUGAAACUCUGAUUGAUGUCCAAUACCGGAUUCUUCUAACACGCGUUACAGCACGCUUCUAGUUGGCCAAUUUGCUUCUAUGUUGCAUCUUAGGGGCGAUCGGAUAGUCUAGAAGUUAAAGCAUUCGCUCGUCACGCCGAAGAUCCGGGUUCGAUGCCCCACAUGGGUACAAUGUCUGAAUCCAAUUUCUGGUGUCCCCCGCCGUGAUAUUGCUGGAAUGUUGUUUAGCGUAAAACCAUACUCUUUCACUCACGUUAGAGGUCUCCUUAUUCACAAGACACAUUGGACCCCUAACGCAUAGGUUAUUCUGGAUACAAAGUAUGACAUGUUCACGCGUUGGCAGGCAGGCAUAACAGCGAUAUUGGUUGUUGUUACUUUUUUUUUGACAGUUAUCAAUUCAGUUUUGAAAGUGCUCUUGACUAAUGAUUUUCAAGUUGAAAAAGAAAAUCAUGUCUUAAGUUAAAGUGUCUGUCUCAUUUCAUUUGUGAGAAUUGUUUCAGUAAACUUGGUAUAUUCAUUCUU
This is a long non-coding RNA of Haliotis rufescens (red abalone), 2058 nucleotides long. RefSeq lists it as uncharacterized. The transcript is spliced from 2 exons. Lineage: Eukaryota; Metazoa; Mollusca; Gastropoda; Lepetellida; Haliotidae. The record is from RefSeq and is a predicted model, not a curated record.